UACAGAGGUCUCAAGCGUUGUUCGGAUUCAUUGGGCGUAAAGCGCACGUAGGCGGCUUCUUAAGUCAGGGGUGAAAUCCUGGAGCUCAACUCCAGAACUGCCCUUGAUACUGAGGAGCUCGAGUCCGGAAGAGGUGAGUGGAACUGCGAGUGUAGAGGUGAAAUUCGUAGAUAUUCGCAAGAACACCAGUGGCGAAGGCGGCUCACUGGUCCGGUACUGACGCUGAGGUGCGAAAGCGUGGGGAGCAAACAGG
RNAcentral lists this ribosomal RNA (253 nucleotides) under uncultured bacterium. RNAcentral's name for it is "partial 16S ribosomal RNA". It matches the Rfam family "Bacterial small subunit ribosomal RNA", at positions 524 to 776 of the family's 1533-position model. The record is from RNAcentral.